GCCGGGCAUGGUGGCACGUGCCUGUAGUCCCAGCUACUCAGGAGGCUGAGGUGGAAGGAUCACUUGAGUCCAGGGGUUCUGGGCUGUAGUGCGCUAUGCCAAUCAGGUGUCCGCACUAAGUUCGGCAUCAAUAUGGCGACCUCCUGGGAGCAGGGGACCACCAGGUUGCCUAAGGAGGAGCGAACCGGCCCAGGUCGGAAACGGAGCAGGUCAAAACUCCCAUGCUGAUGAGUAGUGGGAUCGCGCCUGUGAAUAGCCACUGCACUCCAGCCUGGGCAACAUAGUGAGACCCCAUCUGU
RNAcentral lists this signal recognition particle RNA (299 nucleotides) under Aotus nancymaae (Ma's night monkey). RNAcentral's name for it is "Metazoan signal recognition particle RNA (ENSANAG00000012265.1)". It matches the Rfam family "Metazoan signal recognition particle RNA". Rfam says of the family: The signal recognition particle (SRP) is a universally conserved ribonucleoprotein. It is involved in the co-translational targeting of proteins to membranes. The record is from RNAcentral. Lineage: Eukaryota; Metazoa; Chordata; Mammalia; Primates; Aotidae.